RNAcentral lists this long non-coding RNA (265 nucleotides) under Gossypium barbadense (sea-island cotton). RNAcentral's name for it is "long non-coding RNA (GBAR_LNC002205)". Lineage: Eukaryota; Viridiplantae; Streptophyta; Magnoliopsida; Malvales; Malvaceae. The record is from RNAcentral.
AGGCUGUGUAGUUUACGCGGCCAAGGCCAUUUUUGGGCUUAGUGGGCCACAUAGGCAUGUGGGCCCACGCAGGCUGCAUUAUGGGCCUUGGGCCCAUUUUCAUUAUUUGACUGUUAAGAUUGCACAGGUCGCCCGAAACAACUGUGGACCUACUGUUGGGUCGGUAAGCAUACCUAGACCCCAAGUUUGAUAAAUGACUGUUAUGCCCCUAUGAGGUAAAAAGACUAUUGUGCCCUUAUGAGAUGUAUGACUGUAUUGAGCAUGC